Molecule: long non-coding RNA, 408 nt
Organism: Oncorhynchus tshawytscha (Chinook salmon)
Lineage: Eukaryota; Metazoa; Chordata; Actinopteri; Salmoniformes; Salmonidae
Source: Ensembl
AAGAAACAGAGGAGACAUAUGGAGAGAGUGAGCACAGAAGGAAAAGAGAGAGGAGACAGUUGGAGGAGCUACAGUAUCAGAACAGAGAGAAGACAGACGGAGGAGCUACAGUAUCAGAACAGAGAGAAGACAGACGGAGGAGCUACAGUAUCAGAACAGAGAGAAGACAGACGGAGGAGCUACAGUAUCACAACAGAGAGGAGACAGGUGGAGGAGCUACAGUAUCAGAACAGAGAGGAGACAGGUGGAGGAGCUACAGUAUCAGAACAGAGAAGAGACAGGUGGAGGAGCUACAGUAUCAGAACAGAGAAGAGACAGGUGGAGGAGCUACAGUAUCAGAACAGAGAGAACAGAGGGAGAUGGAGAGAGAAGACAGAACAUACUGCAUGAGACUGUCAGACAACAGAG